Molecule: ribosomal RNA, 495 nt
Filed under: uncultured bacterium
Lineage: Bacteria
Description: partial 16S ribosomal RNA
Rfam family: Bacterial small subunit ribosomal RNA
Source: RNAcentral
GACGAACGCUGGCGGCGUGCCUAAUACAUGCAAGUCGAACGCUGAAGGAGGAGCUUGCUUCUCUGGAUGAGUUGCGAACGGGUGAGUAACGCGUAGGUAACCUGCCUGGUAGCGGGGGAUAACUAUUGGAAACGAUAGCUAAUACCGCAUAAGAGUAGAUGUCGCAUGACAUUUGCUUAAAAGGUGCAAUUGCAUCACUACCAGAUGGACCUGCGUUGUAUUAGCUAGUUGGUGAGGUAACGGCUCACCAAGGCAACGAUACAUAGCCGACCUGAGAGGGGGAUCGGCCACACUGGGACUGAGACACGGCCCAGACUCCUACGGGAGGCAGCAGUAGGGAAUCUUCGGCAAUGGACGGAAGUCUGACCGAGCAACGCCGCGUGAGUGAAGAAGGUUUUCGGAUCGUAAAGCUCGGUUGUAAGAGAAGAACGAGUGUGAGAGUGGAAAGUUCACACUGUGACGGUAUCUUACCAGAAAGGGACGGCUAACUACGUG